RNAcentral lists this small RNA (796 nucleotides) under Pongo abelii (Sumatran orangutan). RNAcentral's name for it is "retained intron". The record is from RNAcentral. Lineage: Eukaryota; Metazoa; Chordata; Mammalia; Primates; Hominidae.
CCAUAGUGACAAGAAUGGUGAGAUCGACCACCACCGGGAACAGUAUGAAAAUCUAAAAUGGACGCUGGAGAGAAAACUUGAGGAGCUCGACGGUGAGCUUGCUCUACAGAGACAGGAGCUGCUGCUGGAGUUUGAAUCGAAAAUGCGGAAGAGGGAGCACGAAUUCCGUCUGCAGGCUGACAACAUGAGCAACACAGCCUUGUCCCGGGAGCUUAAGGUUAAACUACUGCACAAAGAGCUGGAGGCUCUGAAGGAAGCCGGGGCAAAGGCUGCAGAGAGUCUGCAGAGGGCAGAGGCCACCAACGCCGAGCUGGAGAGGAAGCUCCAGAGCCGAGCCGGGGAGCUCCGGGACCUGGAGGCCAUGAGCUGCGCCCGGUGCGCGAGUCCUUCGUCUCCCGAGGCGUGCUCUGUGGCAGCCUCGCAGGCCAGGACCGGAGUCUGGGGGAUUCUACCUUUUCUGCUCAUUCCAGGCUGGUCUUUGCUUUCAUCUCACUUGCUCCUUCCAUAAAUAUUUGUUUCUUUUCAGGGUAAAGGACUUAGAGGAUAAACUUCACUCUGUGCAGCUAACCAGGAAGAAGGAAGAGGAAACAUUUAAGAGGAAGCAUGAGGAGCUCGACCGUCUGGCCAGGGAGAAGGAUGCGGUGCUGGUGGCGGUGAAGGGAGCCCACGUGGACCAGCUGCAGGAGCUGCAGGCCAGGGUUCUGGAGCUGCAGGCCCACUGCGAGACCCUCGAGGCGCAGCUCCGCAGGGCAGAGUGGAGACAGGCUGACACCGCUAAGGAGAAGGACGCUGCCAU